This 70-nucleotide transfer RNA is filed under the name Podarcis lilfordi (Lilford's wall lizard). It matches the Rfam family "tRNA". From Rfam's summary of the family: Transfer RNA (tRNA) molecules are approximately 80 nucleotides in length. Lineage: Eukaryota; Metazoa; Chordata; Lepidosauria; Squamata; Lacertidae. The record is from Rfam by way of RNAcentral.
GUCCUAGCUCAGUCGGUAGAGCGUGAGAUGAAUAAUCUCCUGGUUGUGGGUUCAAGCCCCAUGUGAGAUA